Molecule: ribosomal RNA, 253 nt
Filed under: uncultured bacterium
Lineage: Bacteria
Description: partial 16S ribosomal RNA
Rfam family: Bacterial small subunit ribosomal RNA
Source: RNAcentral
UACGUAGGGGGCAAGCGUUGUCCGGAUUUACUGGGCGUAAAGCGCGCGUAGGCGGCUUUGUAAGUUAGAGGUGAAAGCCCGGAGCUCAACUCCGGAACUGCCUUUAAAACUGCAUCGCUUGAAUCCAGGAGAGGUGAGUGGAAUUCCGAGUGUAGAGGUGAAAUUCGUAGAUAUUCGGAAGAACACCAGUGGCGAAGGCGGCUCACUGGACUGGUAUUGACGCUGAGGUGCGAAAGCGUGGGGAGCAAACAGG